Triticum aestivum (bread wheat) is the source of this 283-nucleotide long non-coding RNA. RefSeq lists it as uncharacterized. The transcript is spliced from 4 exons. The record is from RefSeq and is a predicted model, not a curated record. NCBI's taxonomy places the organism in Eukaryota, Viridiplantae, Streptophyta, Magnoliopsida, Poales, Poaceae.
CAGGUAGAUCUACACCUUGAGAGAUGGCAUUUUGCGGUACAUUGUUUAGGUAUUUGGAUUAUCUAUUAUGUUUCAGAAUUUCUCGAACUAUGAGUGUAGUAUAUUGGGAGCCAAGGCCGAGUAGCAAGCCAUGUGUCACCGCAAGGACAGGAGCGAGAUUUAAUUAAUUGUAUUUGCAAGAUUUGGUCAUUAGUGGUCACUUGGGAUGGGUGCGAUCUGUAUCAUUUGAUCCAGGGAACAAAUGGUUUUGUCCUGGUUUUGCUGAUAGGACAAUAACGGCAAG